Molecule: ribosomal RNA, 448 nt
Filed under: uncultured bacterium
Lineage: Bacteria
Description: bacterial SSU rRNA
Rfam family: Bacterial small subunit ribosomal RNA
Source: RNAcentral
UUCCAGACUCCUACGGGAGGCAGCAGUGGGGAAUAUUGCACAAUGGGGGAAACCCUGAUGCAGCAACGCCGCGUGAGUGAAGAAGUCUUUCGGUAUGUAAAGCUCUAUCAGCAGGGAAGAAAAUGACGGUACCUGAGUAAGAAGCCCCGGCUAACUACGUGCCAGCAGCCGCGGUAAUACGUAGGGGGCAAGCGUUAUCCGGAUUUACUGGGUGUAAAGGGAGCGUAGACGGCGAUACAAGUCUGAAGUGAAAGCCCGGGGCUCAACCCCGGGACUGCUUUGGAAACUGUGUUGCUGGAGUGCUGGAGAGGCAAGCGGAAUUCCUAGUGUAGCGGUGAAGUGCGUAGAUAUUAGGAAGAACACCAGUGGCGAAGGCGGCUUGCUGGACAGUAACUGACGUUGAGGCUCGAAAGCGUGGGGAGCAAACAGGAUUAGAUACCCUGGUACC